RNAcentral lists this ribosomal RNA (253 nucleotides) under uncultured bacterium. RNAcentral's name for it is "partial 16S ribosomal RNA". It matches the Rfam family "Bacterial small subunit ribosomal RNA", at positions 524 to 776 of the family's 1533-position model. The record is from RNAcentral.
UACAGAGGUCUCAAGCGUUGUUCGGAUUCAUUGGGCGUAAAGGGUGCGUAGGCGGCGCGGUAAGUCGGGUGUGAAAUCUCGGAGCUUAACUCCGAAACUGCAUUCGAUACUGCCGUGCUUGAGGACUGGAGAGGAGACUGGAAUUUACGGUGUAGCGGUGAAAUGCGUAGAUAUCGUAAGGAAGACCAGUGGCGAAGGCGGGUCUCUGGACAAGUAUUGACGCUGAGGUGCGAAAGCGUGGGGAGCAAACAGG